GUCUUAGCGGCGCAGCUAACGCACUAAGUUGACCGCCUGGGGAGUACGGCCGCAAGGUUAAAACUCAAAUGAAUUGACGGGGGCCCGCACAAGCGGUGGAGCAUGUGGUUUAACUCGACGCAACGCGAAGAACCUUACCUGGCCUUGACAUGCAGAGAACUUUCCAGAGAUGGAUUGGUGCCUUCGGGAACUCUGACACAGGUGCUGCAUGGCCGUCGUCAGCUCGUGUCGUGAGAUGUUGGGUUAAGUCCCGUAACGAGCGCAACCCCUAUCCCUAGUUGCUAGCAGUUCGGCUGAGAACUCUAGGGAGACUGCCGGUGACAAACCGGAGGAAGGUGGGGAUGACGUCAGGUCAUCAUGGCCCUUACGGCCAGGGCUACACACGUGCUACAAUGGUGCGUACAGAGGGCUGCAAACCCGCGAGGGGGAGCUAAUCUCACAAAACGCAUCGUAGUCCGGAUCGGAGUCUGCAACUCGACUCCGUGAAGUCGGAAUCGCUAGUAAUCGCGAAUCAGAAUGUCGCGGUGAAUACGUUCCCGGGCCUUGUACACACCGCCCGUCACACCAUGGGAGUGGAUUGCACCAGAAGUGGUUAGUCUAACCUUCGGGAGGA
Molecule: ribosomal RNA, 613 nt
Filed under: uncultured bacterium
Lineage: Bacteria
Description: bacterial SSU rRNA
Rfam family: Bacterial small subunit ribosomal RNA
Source: RNAcentral